UGUCGUAUGAAUGUUAUUUACCGUCCACAGUCCGCCGCCGGCUGCAGCAGGUCGGUGGCCCUCAGCGUGCUCUUGUUCAUUGAUGUUGAUUUAAAUUAUAUGACAAGAAAAAUGCAAAACCUAGAGUUGUCGUUCUAACCUGGUACCAGUAAGUAGUGUGCUACUAGAUAAGAAUAGAGCCAAGCAAAGAGUCAGGUUGCUUCUUGCUGCAUGUGUUGCUUGAGAGAGACGACAACACAAAUGAACUUCUCCAUCAGACCAGAAAGAGCUGAAAAGUUUUUUUUUUUUUUUUUACAGCUAUAGCAUGGGGAGUUGCUAGGAAUUUCAGCUAAGUGACUACAGACACAGAAAUUCAAUCACCUUCGAUUAAGGACAAACUUACAGAAAUUCUAUCGAUUGUAAUCUGAAUCGUUUUGGGAGGAACAUACAUUUCAAACUUACAAGUACCAGGACGCACAUAUAUUUGAUAUUACAACUUGGGUUUUCAGUUAUUUUAACAUCGAUUCUCAAUUAUCUAGGACCAGAUAAGAGUGUACAGUGUUGUCAUCGACGAUUGAAAAAUUUGGAACCCAUGUUUGAUAAACUGGCAUCAAUUUUAGUAUGCUGCAGUGUGUAGGCAUGGGUUAUGGGUAAAUAAAAAAAGGAAAAAAGAUAACUUGAAUAUGGCUGUUGCUUCGACAAAUGUAUGCUUUCUUACCUUGGACGCAAGCAAGCUCUGCAGGAGUAAAUCAAAUUUUUAUUGACCAGGUAUCUGUAUGGGUGUUAUGAAAGUUGCAAGUAUAUAUGUUCGAGGCUAAUAUUUUUGAUCCAAGCAUCAGUUAGCCCUACAAUGUGAAAAAAGAUUGCUAAGGUCUAGAAUGUCUGACCGUUAUCAGAAUUCAUGUUCAUCUCUUCUGCAACAUUGUUAUGAUAACCUAGACUUCCACUGCAUUUUUCCACAGCUUCCACGUAGGACUAAGCUUCAAGAACAUUGUGAAGGUUGUUCAGCAGCACAUGACGCGGAAUUGUUGAUAUGCUGCGGCACUGGGAAAUCUCUACACUUCCUGGAACAGUCUGAUGCAGUUGGCCGGCUGGUCGGCCGGCACCGGGGACCCCUGCAAAGAAGAUGGCAGGGUAGCAAGGGACGGCUUCUGCCCCGUAUGUUCUUUACUGAAUUUCGAUGAUGCCAUUCUUCUGCAGAAGCAUCUGAAAUAGAUUCCUGGAGUGCUGUCAUUUGUGGUGGAUCACUGGCUGAUCUUUUUUUGCUACUCAUGCUAAGGUUAUUUUUGCUUUGUUAUUUUUAUUAGAUUAGAUUUUGAUCUCAUGAGAUUUUGUUAUUAUUCUGGUUUUCGCUAUGAUUUGUAUCUCCGAGAGUGCUCACAUGACUAUGAUUUCCUGUAAAACCAUGUUGAGGACCAUCUGUUCUGCUUUAUCAUAGUGAUGAUUCGAUCUCAGAAUCGAGCAAACAUGGCAUUGGUCAUGCUAAUGAUUUCUAUAUAUAAAUUAGAUUUUGACCUCA
Panicum virgatum (switchgrass) is the source of this 1498-nucleotide long non-coding RNA. RefSeq lists it as uncharacterized. The record is from RefSeq and is a predicted model, not a curated record. The transcript is spliced from 2 exons. NCBI's taxonomy places the organism in Eukaryota, Viridiplantae, Streptophyta, Magnoliopsida, Poales, Poaceae.